Molecule: long non-coding RNA, 586 nt
Filed under: Populus trichocarpa (black cottonwood)
Lineage: Eukaryota; Viridiplantae; Streptophyta; Magnoliopsida; Malpighiales; Salicaceae
Description: long non-coding RNA (PTRI_LNC001363)
Source: RNAcentral
GAGAAAACACAGGAUUCAUCGGAAGUUCAUCCUAUUAAAGAAUCAGAAGCAGUUGCAGUAAAAGAUAUCAAUGAUUCAGUAGCAGUGCCUGAAGUUGAUAAACCAGAAUCAGCAGUUCCUGAAGUUGAGGUUAAACAAGAAAAGCAAUCUGAAGUAAUUGAACAAGUGGAAAAACCAGAAUCAGCGGUUCCUCAGGUUGAGGUGAAAUUGGUGGAACAACCUGAAGUAACUGAACAAGUUGAAAAACCAGAAUCAUUGGGUCCUGAGGUUGAGGUGAAACCAGAAGAACAACCUGAAGUCACUACACAUACGGAAAAACAAAAGAAACAUGAAGUAGAGUUGAAAACUGAGGCACGAUCUGAAGUUAGUGAACAGGUUGAGAUUAAGCCAACUAAUGAAAAGCCAGAGGAAGUAGCUGGAAUUACUCAGGAGGCUGAAGUUGAUGUCAAAGAGGAUAUAGGAAAAUCUUCUCUUCCUGAAGUUGUAGGAAAGGUUGGUCCAGAAGAUGAAAAAAGAGAGGCUGAAGGAACUGAUCCGGUUGAAGUGCCAGUAAAAGAGGUUGUGGUAGAAGCGGAAAAGGGUGGAG